RNAcentral lists this ribosomal RNA (497 nucleotides) under uncultured bacterium. Its description in RNAcentral is "partial 16S ribosomal RNA". It matches the Rfam family "Bacterial small subunit ribosomal RNA", at positions 28 to 507 of the family's 1533-position model. The record is from RNAcentral.
GAUGAACGCUGGCGGCGUGCCUAAUACAUGCCAGUCGAGCGAACAGACGAGGAGCUUGCUCCUCUGACGUUAGCGGCGGACGGGUGAGUAACACGUGGAUAACCUACCUAUAAGACUGGGAUAACUUCGGGAAACCGGAUCUAAUACCGGAUAAUAUAUUGAACCGCAUGGUUCAAUAGUGAAAGACGGUUUUGCUGUCACUUAUAGAUGGAUCCGCGCCGCAUUAGCUAGUUGGUAAGGUAACGGCUUACCAAGGCAACGAUGCGUAGCCGACCUGAGAGGGUGAUCGGCCACACUGGAACUGAGACACGGUCCAGACUCCUACGGGAGGCAGCAGUAGGGAAUCUUCCGCAAUGGGCGAAAGCCUGACGGAGCCACGCCGCGUGAGUGAUGAAGGUCUUCGGAUCGUAAAACUCUGUUAUUAGGGAAGAACAAAUGUGUAAGUAACUAUGCACGUCUUGACGGUACCUUAUCAGAAAGCCACGGCUAACUACGUG